CGUGUGUACAUCAUUGGGAAUGGAGGGAAAUAAAUGACUGGAUGGUCGCUGCUUUUUAAGUUUCAAAUUGACAUUCCAGACAAGCGGUGCCUGAGCCCGUGCCUGUCUUCAGAUCUUCACAGCACAGUUCCUGGGAAGGUGGAGCCACCAGCCUCUCCCUGACAAGCAAAGUGGAUCAGCAAAGGCUGCAGUCACCAGCAUCUUUUCCAACCUUAAUGAACUGUAUCCUCAAAAGAACACUAUCAGACUGGUAAGACAAGCAUUAUUGUCCCACUUCACAGAUGAAGAGCUUGGGGGCCCUGUGGAUGUGUAGGAGAGUCGGCCUUCCUUUUUAUAGGCCUUUUGCUGAGCUCAGAGGACAGAGCAGAAGACAAAGCCGAAUGCAGCCCUAAGCAGACACUAUCCCAGCCCAAGGAGCUAUGCAGACAGCUCCUGCCUAGAGGAGAAACAAUUCUCUCCUUCAGCCAGGCAUGUGGCACAGAGGUGAACAGGAAAUGCUUAGGGAGACAGUUCACAGAUAUAUAUGUACUUCACAGGGCACAAUUUAAUCCAUAAAUCAAUCAUGGAUCACCGCUAAAGAAAACAAAAUAUGCUGCCACUAAUUUGCCACCACCCUGUGAGCAUGAUUGGAUGAUGUUUAUUUUGAUUAGGAGAUUGCUCCAUUUAUAAAUCUUCAAUACAUCCUGUCCCCCUAAAACGGCAUCUGGGUCUUUUGAGGGUUAAAAAAAAAAAAAAGUGAAAUUGGAUGAGGGAUGAGAGCUGGACUUCUGUGUGUCCCGGGGUCCCUGGAUCCACAGCCUGGUGCCUAGCAUCAGUUAAGCCCACGCUGGGGUCGCAUCACAUCCCGCAAAGCCACGUGCUCUGUGAGGCCAACAGGAGCCCCGCCGGGUGGACCAGCUGGAAUCUCAGAGAGCGCCGACUCUGAAACUACCCGGCUCUGCAGAAGCACGCUGGGCCCAGGGGCUUCUAGACUGACAGCUCCAUUUAUCAACUACCUAUUGGUUUUAAAAAUUGGAGUGUCUUUUCCGCGUUGACUGAUUUUGGCUCUAAGAGAUGUCGCUGGUCAUUUCAGAGUGACUGAACCUCCCCUCUAACAGAUCCCGGGAAUUGUUUUCAGGAAAGGUAAAAGGCAGCCUUUUCUGUCACAACACAACGCUGAGCCGGCAGCCUGGCUCUGUCAGGAUCUGGGGCUCCCGCGCCCGAGAAGCCCAGCCUCGCCGGCGGCCAAGUUCACCGCGAGGCCCCGCGCUGCCUGCGCUGCGCUCCCGGACCCGCACCGACCGCAGCGCGCGCCGCCGGUGCUUCUCCCACCCCAGCCUGGAAGCUGCCUCCCUCCGCCUAUGCCUGCAGGAUAAGAAGCCCGAGGAGGCGGAGCAUGGAACUCGACAGUUAAAACAUUUAAGAGAGAAAACCUAGUGUCUUGCUGGCCUGAAAUCGAGUACGCAGCCCGGGGUGAUCAGGGUCUCCCGGCCCGGAUGUGUGAGACUUGCUUCCCCUGGGCAAUAGGCGAUACGAUGCUUUAGGAGGAAGGUGUCUCUCCCUCCUAAGCCCCGGAGGGGAGAACUUCCAAAGACAGAAAACCACAGGCUUCCUGGCACAGAGCUUUCCCUUUAUCAGCUAAAGCAGAAUCUUUUCUGGCCUUAACCUGGCCCCUUCCUCUAACUGCAGGCAGAGAGGCAGACAGAAAAGCACUUGCUGAAACACAAAGUUUUGUUCUGUCCUCAACGAACUGUCUAGAGCUGAUUGCUGAUAGUCGUGGUGCAUUAUGCCUUCCUGGUUUUCAUUUAAUUGGGCACCACGCUGCCUUUCAAGACGCCUUAAAGGAACCAACAACCAAAUCCAAGAGAGCUGGACAGACCAUUGAACACACAGUAGGCUGUGUCUCGUGGCUUUCGUUGUCUGGUGCCUCAAAGAAAACACCAGAAAGAUUGUUUCUAAGCUAGAGCCACCCCAGAUUGCUUAAAGUGCAAAGCUCACUGCUGUUGGGGGUACCCUUGUGAGACACUGGAAAGCUGGUUUUACCGUGGCCCUAUGAAGAGGAAGACUGAAAUUUAGACAGUAAUACCUUUACUAGGAUUGGAAAAGAUUUGGUUAAUGACAGCCCUGUCAUUUCUAAAACCCAUUAUCACUGUAUGAGAGAUUCCUUUGCGCUGCAUCCUCGACAGUGCUUCCUAAGGCUCUGCCGACUUCCAGUUCUGGAACAAGAUGGUUAAACUCAUUUUUCCCUGCUCUGCUCCUCUAAAUACAACUAAGUACCUUGGAAACUAUUCAGCAGACAAUGAUAAAGGGCUCUGAAAGCUAGAAGAAAAGGUGUACUUGCAAGAAACCUCAGGACUUGAGUAACAGCAACAUGGAAAGGAGAAAGAGACUACCUACUGCAUUUCUGUCACUCGCUGAAAAGGACACUCUGUCAGAAAAUCUUCUAGCAAACUUCAAAGGGCAAAAUCACCCCUUGUUACUGAUAAAGCCCAGAGAGCUUCAGCAGCUAACAUUCCCUGGACAGGGCACAGCAAGGAUUUGAACCUAGGUCAGUCUGGCCAGAACACCCACAAGCUUUCCUUAACUCAGUGUGCUAUCUCCCCACGACUAGGUCACUACUGCUUUAUAAUCACCUUUGUAGCCACCAGUGGAUUUUGCUCAUCAGUAUUUUUCAGGCAAUUGAUACUUUAGAUAUUCAGCUGCAAGACGUAUGCAGUUUUCAUUGACAUCUUUUGGAGAAACUGACAAACCUGGACUUGACUUAAUGCCUUUGGAACCUUCCAAGAUGUUAUAUAACUCUAGAUAGAAGGCUGGGCCUCCAUGAUGUCAGGAAUGUUGCAUUCUUAUUUCCCCAUAGAUAAACCCAUUUGUCCACAAAGUCAAGGAGUCAGGCAGAGGCCCUUGCCAUGGGGCUUUUUAGGAUAAAGCAACAAGCCUGGACUUUGCUCUACAACAGGGUUUUGCAUAGGGAGUGGUAUGACCAGAUCCCUCAAGAAAGAAAGCUUAGAGACCAGGCCAGAGUCCACUGCAGUAGCCCAGUCAAGAGAGGAUGGUGACUUGGACUUGUAGUAGAGCCAGUUAGAAUGAAAGAAAUUGACACAUUCAGAAAUGGUUUUAGAGAUAGAGUCAAACUGGACCUGAUAAAGAACUAGAGAAGCGGAGUGAGGAUAAAGAGAAGAGCCAUGACUGACUCGGAAGAUUUUGUCUUGAAAAACUUGAGAACUCAAGACAGAGU
Homo sapiens (human) is the source of this 3214-nucleotide long non-coding RNA. Ensembl annotates it as MIR4435-2 host gene. The record is from Ensembl. Lineage: Eukaryota; Metazoa; Chordata; Mammalia; Primates; Hominidae.